Molecule: ribosomal RNA, 253 nt
Filed under: uncultured bacterium
Lineage: Bacteria
Description: partial 16S ribosomal RNA
Rfam family: Bacterial small subunit ribosomal RNA
Source: RNAcentral
UACGUAGGUGGCAAGCGUUGUCCGGAAUUAUUGGGCGUAAAGCGCUCGCAGGCGGUCUUUUAAGUCUGAUGUGAAAUCUCGUGGCUUAACCACGAACGGUCAUUGGAAACUGGGGGACUUGAGUACAGAAGAGGAGAGUGGAAUUCCACGUGUAGCGGUGAAAUGCGUAGAGAUGUGGAGGAACACCAGUGGCGAAGGCGACUCUCUGGUCUGUAACUGACGCUGAGGAGCGAAAGCGUGGGGAGCGAACAGG